RNAcentral lists this long non-coding RNA (408 nucleotides) under Fragaria vesca (wild strawberry). RNAcentral describes it as "long non-coding RNA (FVES_LNC005445)". The record is from RNAcentral. Lineage: Eukaryota; Viridiplantae; Streptophyta; Magnoliopsida; Rosales; Rosaceae.
UAGCUGCGGUGGUGCCAAUAUUCUGAUAAAGGGUCAGCCAUGCAUGGCGGAGGUGGUCCGGGCGGAGGUGGAGGUCCAGGAGGAGGAGGGCCUGGUGGAUGGGGUGGAGGUCCUGGAGGGGGUGGCCCUGGUGGAUGGGGAGGAGGACCCGGAGGGCCAGGAGGACCAGGAGGGCCAGGAGGACCAGGAGGACCAUGGGGUCCUGGCCCGGGAGGCCCGGGAGGACCUUGGGGUCCGGGGCCUGGCGGACCUCCUUGGGGUCCGGGAUUUGGCGGACCUUGGUGGGGAGGACCUGGUGGCUUCUUUGGUGGGUUUGGCAAUGGCCUAUGUGACAUGAUAUCUUCUUGGUAAGUAUGAGUUUUGAUAUCUUGGCAUUUCUUGUGACUUGUUUCUGUUAGCUUGCAACAU